RNAcentral lists this ribosomal RNA (600 nucleotides) under Cutaneotrichosporon cutaneum. RNAcentral's name for it is "eukaryotic LSU rRNA". It matches the Rfam family "Eukaryotic large subunit ribosomal RNA", at positions 68 to 659 of the family's 3401-position model. The record is from RNAcentral. Lineage: Eukaryota; Fungi; Basidiomycota; Tremellomycetes; Trichosporonales; Trichosporonaceae.
UACGGUAUUACGGUAGCACGGCGAGUGACCGAGGAAGAGCUCAAAUUUGUAAUCUGGCUGUCUUCGAUAGUCCGAGUUGUAAUCUAUAGACGUGUUUUCCGUGCUGGACCGUAUCUAAGUCCCUUGGAACAGGGUAUCAAAGAGGGUGAUAAUCCCGUGCUUGAUACGACCACCAGUGCUCUGUGAUACACGCUCUACGAGUCGAGUUGUUUGGGAAUGCAGCUCAAAAUGGGUGGUAAAUUCCAUCUAAAGCUAAAUAUUGGCGAGAGACCGAUAGCGAACAAGUACCGUGAGGGAAAGAUGAAAAGCACUUUGGAAAGAGAGUUAAACAGUACGUGAAAUUGUUGAAAGGGAAACGAUUGAAGUCAGUCGUGUUCUUCAGAUUCAGCUGGUUCUUCCAGUCUACUUCUGUUGAACGGGUCAACAUCAGUUUUGUCCGGUGGAUAAAGGUAGUAGGAAUGUGACUCCUCCGGGAGUGUUAUAGCCUAUUAUUGCAUACACUGGGUGAGACUGAGGACUGCAGCUCGCCUUUUGGCCGGUCUUCGGACACGUUCGAGCUUAGGAUGUUGACAUAAUGGCUUUAAACGACCCGUCUGAGCA